AUUGAACGCUGGCGGCAGGCCUAACACAUGCAAGUCGAGCGGAUGAAGGGAGCUUGCUCCUGGAUUCAGCGGCGGACGGGUGAGUAAUGCCUAGGAAUCUGCCUGGUAGUGGGGGAUAACGUCCGGAAACGGGCGCUAAUACCGCAUACGUCCUGAGGGAGAAAGUGGGGGAUCUUCGGACCUCACGCUAUCAGAUGAGCCUAGGUCGGAUUUGCUAGUUGGUGGGGUAAAGGCCUACCAAGGCGACGAUCCGUAACUGGUCUGAGAGGAUGAUCAGUCACACUGGAACUGAGACACGGUCCAGACUCCUACGGGAGGCAGCAGUGGGGAAUAUUGGACAAUGGGCGAAAGCCUGAUCCAGCCAUGCCGCGUGUGUGCAGAAGGUCUUCGGAUUGUAAAGCACUUUAAGUUGGGAGGAAGGGCAGUAAGUUAAUACCUUGCUGUUUUGACGUUACCAACAGAAUAAGCUCCGGCUAACUUCGUG
This 484-nucleotide ribosomal RNA is filed under the name uncultured bacterium. Its description in RNAcentral is "partial 16S ribosomal RNA". It matches the Rfam family "Bacterial small subunit ribosomal RNA", at positions 30 to 507 of the family's 1533-position model. The record is from RNAcentral.